AGGCAUCCUUUGUCUGAGUAUCCAGUGCGUCGUCUAUAUCGGGAAGUCUUAGUCGUGUUACUCCUUUGAGGUCCUCAGGGCCCCUUGUCUAAGACUGGGGCUCUAGGACUUCAAACCUUAGGCUUAAAUUAAAAUAGUAGUACUAAUGAUCAAGAUUAUCUAGUCGUGUUGUGCCGAGCCAACCAUGGACUGGACCUUCGAGUUCCAGUCUAUCAUGGAGCUCUGGGACUUGCUGCAGCGCAUGAAAGAGCAAGGAGCCGCGCAGUCAGACAGCGUGAACCAUCCCCAGCAGCCGGCGGAGCACUGAACAUGUCACUUUCAGCUUAUACAAACUACUUACUUCUACUAUCUAAGUAAGCAGUCUGUCAGAGCUGAAACACGUUGCAUUUUCCAUGCUAUUAACAUGCUUU
Molecule: long non-coding RNA, 410 nt
Organism: Helicoverpa zea (corn earworm)
Lineage: Eukaryota; Metazoa; Arthropoda; Insecta; Lepidoptera; Noctuidae
Exons: 3
Source: RefSeq, a predicted model, not a curated record